GGACCUGACUGCUAUCGCAUUCAUAAUAAGCCAUGUGAGUCUUUGCAGCAAUACAAGGCAUACGGCUCAGUAACACGUAGUCAAUCUAACCUAUGGACGGGGAUAACCUCGGGAAACUGAGAAUAAUACCCGAUAGAUCAUUAUGCCUGGAAUGGUUUAUGGUUCAAAUGAUUCGUUCGCCGUAGGAUGGGACUGCGACCUAUCAGUUUGUUGGUGAGGUAAUGGCCCACCAAGACUAUUACAGGUACGGGCUCUGAGAGGAGAAGCCCGGAGAUGGGUAUUGAGACACGGACCCAGGCCCUAUGGGGCGCAGCAGGCGAGAAAACUUUGCAAUGUGCGAAAGCACGACAAGGUUAAUCCGAGUGGUUCCUGCUAAAGGAACCUUUUGUUAGUCGUAAAACCACUGAUGAAUAAGGGGUGGGCAAGUUCUGGUGUCAGCCA
This 441-nucleotide ribosomal RNA is filed under the name uncultured archaeon. Its description in RNAcentral is "bacterial SSU rRNA". It matches the Rfam family "Archaeal small subunit ribosomal RNA", at positions 19 to 464 of the family's 1478-position model. The record is from RNAcentral.